AUGAGCAUUCAAGACAAUCACGUGGUUAGUUUAAUUUUUUCUUGGCCCCGUCGUUUGUUUUUUCACCCUCCAUUUCCACAUUUGCUUUCUUUCACUAGAGUUGGAUUCCAUUUGCGAGAACAUCGAGAGAUCUUUUUAGUCAAAUGUACGUCUGACCCACUUGCCUAAUUAGCUAACUUUCACUAUUUACCAUGGCAAACUUUUCUUUUUAAUGUAAGUCAAGCCACUGUACAAUAAAUUCAAGCUUCUUAAUUGAAUGAACAAGUGUAAUCAAUAAAAGUUCAUUAGCUUAUGUAGUAAGUGUUCAUUGAUUGAUUACACAUCUACAGUGUCAUUACAUUAUUAGAUGUGAGAACUUACCAAUCCUAAUGUAUAUUAAGAAUCAUCCAAAUAAAAUGCUAGUUCAAG
RNAcentral lists this unclassified non-coding RNA (408 nucleotides) under Hevea brasiliensis (rubber tree). The record is from RNAcentral. Lineage: Eukaryota; Viridiplantae; Streptophyta; Magnoliopsida; Malpighiales; Euphorbiaceae.